UUUAGAAAUUAUGAUAACAAAAAUAUUUUUGGAUAGAUGAGCAUUUUUUCUGAGUUUUUCACAGUGUUUUGAAACCCGACCCGGACCCGCGGUUGACCCGGUAAACCCGGCGAUCCAGAAAAAAUCCGGUUUGGGUUUUAUAAAAAACCCAAUAUUUAAAAAUCCGCAAAAACCCGUAAAAAUCCUCAAAAACCCAUUAAACCCCGGAAUCCGAUAUCGGUUGAACCCCCGGUUGAACCAAUAAAUAACUUUUACUCAUUUUUUA
RNAcentral lists this long non-coding RNA (265 nucleotides) under Brassica rapa (field mustard). RNAcentral describes it as "long non-coding RNA (BRAP_LNC007213)". The record is from RNAcentral. Lineage: Eukaryota; Viridiplantae; Streptophyta; Magnoliopsida; Brassicales; Brassicaceae.